RNAcentral lists this ribosomal RNA (466 nucleotides) under uncultured bacterium. RNAcentral describes it as "bacterial SSU rRNA". It matches the Rfam family "Bacterial small subunit ribosomal RNA", at positions 917 to 1382 of the family's 1533-position model. The record is from RNAcentral.
GGACCCGCACAAGCGGUGGAUGAUGUGGAUUAAUUCGAUGCAACGCGAAAAACCUUACCUACCCUUGACAUGUUCAGGAUCCUGGAGAGAUUUGGGAGUGCCCGAAAGGGAGCUGGAACACAGGUGCUGCAUGGCUGUCGUCAGCUCGUGUCGUGAGAUGUUGGGUUAAGUCCCGCAACGAGCGCAACCCUUGUCGUUAAUUGCCAUCAUUAGGUUGGGCACUUUAACGAGACUGCCGGUGACAAACCGGAGGAAGGUGGGGAUGACGUCAAGUCCUCAUGGCCCUUAUGGGUAGGGCUUCACACGUCAUACAAUGGUCGGUACAGAGGGUUGCCAAGCCGCGAGGUGGAGCCAAUCCCAGAAAGCCGAUCGUAGUCCGGAUUGCAGGCUGCAACUCGCCUGCAUGAAGUCGGAAUCGCUAGUAAUCGCGGAUCAGCAUGUCGCGGUGAAUACGUUCCCGGGUCUU